Sinocyclocheilus rhinocerous is the source of this 117-nucleotide ribosomal RNA. Lineage: Eukaryota; Metazoa; Chordata; Actinopteri; Cypriniformes; Cyprinidae. The record is from Ensembl.
AAAUACAGCCAUAUCACCCUGCAGCCCAAGACUGGUUGCCCACUGAAGCUAAGCAGGGUUGAGCCUGGUCAGUACCUGGAUGGGAGACCUCCUGGGAAAACUAGGUUGCUGUAGGAA